GCCUACGGCCAUACCACGUAGAACACACCGGUUCUCGUCCGAUCACCGAAGUUAAGCAACGUCGGGCCUGGUUAGUACUUGGAUGGGUGACCGCCUGGGAACACCGGGUGCUGUAGGCA
Molecule: ribosomal RNA, 119 nt
Filed under: Pomacea canaliculata
Lineage: Eukaryota; Metazoa; Mollusca; Gastropoda; Architaenioglossa; Ampullariidae
Source: RNAcentral